CGGGGGGCGGAGACAGAGAGAGAGAGAGAGGCGUGCGCUCCCGCGGACGCGCGUGCGCCAGGCUUUCUGCCCCGGGCUCCGCCGGGCUCCAGCCCGGCUCCAGCCGGCGUCCGUGCGGCGUGCGUCCGUCCGGAGACCCAGUGACCCCGAGAGGGGAGGACAGGGUUUCCCUGUGGCUUUGGAGUCUGUCCUGGAACUAGCUCUUGUAGAGCAGGCUGGUCUCGAACUCACAGCGAUCCCCCUGCCUCUGCCUCCCGAGUGCUGGGAUUAAAGGCGUGCGCCACCACCCUGCUCCACUUUGACAUGUCAAUGGCACCUCAGCCCUUUGUCCCCGUGUUUGACACCCGAACAACACCCAGGAGACCCCCUGGGACCUCAGGAACGAAGGGGCCUAACAUGCCUUGCAUGUGCAGACAGCCUAGCCCGUCCUGCCUCAUCAGCUGCCCAGCGGAGCCAAAGUUAAGAACCCAAGGAUUCCAAGACGAGAGAUGAGGAGAGCACAGGUCUCGAGGCGCUCGUGCCCUUUUUGCCUGCUGAGGAUGGAAGGAUACAAGGGGAAGGGAGCAUGCCCAUGCCAGUUCUCCCACGGUGAAGAAGAAUGAGCCUGGGACCUUCCGU
Molecule: long non-coding RNA, 618 nt
Filed under: Cricetulus griseus (Chinese hamster)
Lineage: Eukaryota; Metazoa; Chordata; Mammalia; Rodentia; Cricetidae
Description: lncRNA (ENSCGRG00015032752.1)
Source: RNAcentral